CGACCGGCGCACGGGUGCGUAACGCGUAUGCAACCUACCUUUAACAGGGGGAGUAACACUGAGAAAUUGGUACUAAUACCCCAUAAUAUCAUAGAAGGCAUCUUUUAUGGUUGAAAAUUCCGAUGGUUAGAGAUGGGCAUGCGUUGUAUUAGCUAGUUGGUGGGGUAACGGCUCACCAAGGCGACGAUACAUAGGGGGACUGAGAGGAAGGUCCCCCACAUUGGAACUGAGACACGGUCCAA
This 242-nucleotide ribosomal RNA is filed under the name uncultured bacterium. RNAcentral describes it as "partial 16S ribosomal RNA". It matches the Rfam family "Bacterial small subunit ribosomal RNA", at positions 92 to 334 of the family's 1533-position model. The record is from RNAcentral.